This 542-nucleotide ribosomal RNA is filed under the name Cardinium endosymbiont of Brevipalpus phoenicis. RNAcentral's name for it is "bacterial SSU rRNA". It matches the Rfam family "Bacterial small subunit ribosomal RNA", at positions 158 to 697 of the family's 1533-position model. The record is from RNAcentral. Lineage: Bacteria; Pseudomonadati; Bacteroidota; Cytophagia; Cytophagales; Amoebophilaceae.
GGCCGCGGGCUUCUCAUACAAUCUUGCUAGCGCAUGCCCCUUAGAUAAAAGCUCCGGCGGUGUAAAAUGAGCGUGCGUCCUAUUAGCUAGUUGGAGAGGUAAUGGCUCACCAAGGCUACGAUGGGUAGGGGUUCUUAGUGGAAGGUCCCCCACACUGGCACUGAGAUACGGGCCAGACUCCUACGGGAGGCAGCAGUAGGGAAUAUUGGUCAAUGGGCGCAAGCCUGAACCAGCCAUGCCGAGUGCAGGAUGAAGGCUCUCUGAGUUGUAAACUGCUUUUGUACAGGAGCAAAAAAGCCCCUGCGGGGGCUCUUGAGAGUACUGUAAGAAUAAGCACCGGCUAAUUCCGUGCCAGCAGCCGCGGUAAUACGGAAGGUGCAAGCGUUAUCCGGUUUUAUUGGGUUUAAAGGGUGCGUAGGCGGCUUAUUAAGUCAGUUGUGAAAUCCUAGUGCUUAACGCUAGAACUGCGAUUGAUACUAUUAGGCUUGAGUUAAAAAGAGGUAGGCAAAAUUUAUGGUGUAAUAGUGAAAUGCUUUAAAUAU